UACCGAGGGUGCGAGCGUUAAUCGGAAUUACUGGGCGUAAAGCGCGCGUAGGCGGCUUUGCAAGUCGAUUGUGAAAUCCCCAGGCUUAACCUGGGAACUGCAUUCGAGACUGCAUAGCUAGAGUAUGGGAGAGGGAAGUGGAAUUUCAGGUGUAGCGGUGAAAUGCGUAGAUAUCUGAAGGAACAUCAGUGGCGAAAGCGACUUCCUGGACCAAUACUGACGCUCAUGUGCGAAAGCGUGGGGAGCAAACAGG
RNAcentral lists this ribosomal RNA (253 nucleotides) under uncultured bacterium. Its description in RNAcentral is "partial 16S ribosomal RNA". It matches the Rfam family "Bacterial small subunit ribosomal RNA", at positions 524 to 776 of the family's 1533-position model. The record is from RNAcentral.